GAAAUGCGAUAAGUAGUGUGAAUUGCAGAAUUCAGUGAAUCAUCGAAUCUUUGAACGCACAUUGCGCCCUUUGGUAUUCCUUAGGGCAUGCCUGUUCGAGCGUCAUCUAAACCUUCAAGCCCUGCUUGGUGUUGGGUGCCUGUCCCGCCUCCGCGCGCGGACUCACCUCAAAUCCAUUGGCGGCCCCCGCGUCGGCCACGAGCGCAGCAGAAACGCGAACUCGUGACCCCGUCCGGGCGGCUCCCAGAAGCUACACCCACCCAGUUUGACCUCGGAUCAGGUAGGGAUACCCGCUGAACUUAAGC
This 305-nucleotide unclassified non-coding RNA is filed under the name plant metagenome. Its description in RNAcentral is "partial contains 5.8S ribosomal RNA, internal transcribed spacer 2, and large subunit ribosomal RNA". The stretch from base 1 to 105 matches the Rfam family "5.8S ribosomal RNA", at positions 50 to 154 of the family's 154-position model. The record is from RNAcentral.